RNAcentral lists this ribosomal RNA (460 nucleotides) under uncultured bacterium. RNAcentral describes it as "partial 16S ribosomal RNA". It matches the Rfam family "Bacterial small subunit ribosomal RNA", at positions 338 to 795 of the family's 1533-position model. The record is from RNAcentral.
CCUACGGGAGGCAGCAGUGAGGAAUAUUGGUCAAUGGCCGGAAGGCUGAACCAGCCAUGCCGGGUGAAGGUCAGUGCCCUAUGGGCGUUAAACUUCUUUUGUGCGGGAGCAAUAAUGGUCACGUGUGGCCAGACGAGAGUACCGUACGAAUAAGCAUCGGCUAACUCCGUGCCAGCAGCCGCGGUAAUACGGGGGAUGCAAGCGUUAUCCGGAUUUAUUGGGGUUAAAGGGUGCGUAGGCUGGUAGGUAAGUCAGCGGUGAAAUGCCCCCGCUCAACGGGGUGAAGUGCCAUUGAUACUGCCUUGCUGGAAUGCGGAUGCCGUGGGAGGAAUGUGUGGUGUAGCGGUGAAAUGCAUAGAUAUCACACAGAACACCGAUUGCGAAGGCAUCUCACGAAUCCGCGAUUGACGCUGAUGCACGAAAGCGUGGGUAUCAAACAGGAUUAGAUACCCCAGUAGUC